GACGAACGCUGGCGGCGUGCUUAACACAUGCAAGUCGAACGAAGAGCGAUGGAAGCUUGCUUCUAUCAAUCUUAGUGGCGAACGGGUGAGUAACGCGUAAUCAACCUGCCCUUCAGAGGGGGACAACAGUUGGAAACGACUGCUAAUACCGCAUACGAUCUAAUCUCGGCAUCGAGGAUAGAUGAAAGGUGGCCUCUACAUGUAAGCUAUCACUGAAGGAGGGGAUUGCGUCUGAUUAGCUAGUUGGAGGGGUAACGGCCCACCAAGGCGAUGAUCAGUAGCCGGUCUGAGAGGAUGAACGGCCACAUUGGGACUGAGACACGGCCCAGACUCCUACGGGAGGCAGCAGUGGGGAAUCUUCCGCAAUGGACGAAAGUCUGACGGAGCAACGCCGCGUGAGUGAUGACGGCCUUCGGGUUGUAAAAGCUCUGUUAAAUCGGGACGAAAAGGCCCUUC
This 456-nucleotide ribosomal RNA is filed under the name Veillonella parvula. RNAcentral describes it as "bacterial SSU rRNA". It matches the Rfam family "Bacterial small subunit ribosomal RNA", at positions 28 to 459 of the family's 1533-position model. Lineage: Bacteria; Bacillati; Bacillota; Negativicutes; Veillonellales; Veillonellaceae. The record is from RNAcentral.